UCCGGUGGCGAUGCGUUUAGGGGUCACACCCGUUAUACAUCCCGAACACGAUGGUUAAGCCUUAAGCGGCCGAUGAUACUAUGCUGGAGACGGCAUGGGAAAGCAGGUGGCUGCCAGAU
Molecule: ribosomal RNA, 119 nt
Filed under: Roseburia sp. MSJ-14
Lineage: Bacteria; Bacillati; Bacillota; Clostridia; Lachnospirales; Lachnospiraceae
Source: RNAcentral